CCGCCUGUACCCGCUUCGCGUCAUUUGGGGGCGUUUCCCUUUUUUUUUCCUCGCGAUGCAGCCUCCCCGCCCGUAGCGCCGCCUCCCCCGCCAUCGCGCCGCCCCCGCGGCACCACGCGACGCCGCCUCUCCAGUCGGAUCUCAGUGCUGCUGGGUUGGUGGCGCACACGCCCGGCAGGGAGGCGGCCGGAGGGAGGAGUUCGACCAGCGGCCAGACUUCCGGCGGGGGACUGCUCCGGGCGGCCAAUCGACCGGUGGAGAUCCCGGUCCGGCUUGGUGAUGCGCGGCGGAGGUGGAGGAGGCGGUUGUGGGGAAGCCUGUAGGGGGCGAAGGAGAAGGAAAGGGAAGGAGCGCUGGGACAUCGUGCUCCUCCUCCGCCUGCGGCCUCCUGCAUGGGCGGCGGCGGCAGACGAGCAGCUAGCGGCGGCGCGUGCAAGGCUACUCGCGGAUCGAUCUGAUGGAUCAUCAGGCCGGGAUGGGUUCCUACAAGCCCGUAAGUCCCUCACCCCCAAAUCCAAAUCAAACCCUAGCGUGGGACGGUGGGGUGCGGCCUGCAGCAUGCCACGGCGGUCGGCGGCGCGGCGGCGUAUGGCGCAGGGCCGCGAUGCACGGAGGAGGCAUGCAGCGCGGGGCGGAGCUGUGCGACGCUGGACGGCGACCUCCAACACGAGUCGACGGCGUGCGUGGUGGGCCGCAGGGCACCCCGUCGGCCAGGCCGCAGCACCCUACCACCCCUCCAGGCCCGACAAGCCCCUUGUGGUGACGCAGAAGGAGAUCAUUACCCACAAGGAGGGGUGCAGCUAAACGCGUACAUGUUGCACAACCUGAGCUUGGGUUCAGUGACUUUUUUUAAUGAUGCUUACUGGAGAGACAACAUCGUGGACGACAACACAUGCUCGCUGAUGCUUGGUAAGGCAGGGUAGGGAACACAUAGCCCAGGGUGAUCGAAACAUCAGCUCGGUUCUUUAUGAGUUGGAAGAUCAACAGACUUCAAGAGAGAAAUGAUCUCCCGGAGCCACUGAUCGGGAAGCUCUGGACAUUGGGUGAUUUUGAGGGCAACCCUGUACUACAGUUGCAUGUAAGUGUGCCACCCGGACCUUAGUGGGGAUGACCCUGAUGUGACCAACUUCCGGAUGUCAUCAACUAGGUUUAUUUGGUAAGAGCCACCAGUCAAGUCUUUACAUUUAUGCAUGCUGCCUGCAAGAUGUUUUCUUUUUGCUCUGAAAUUUGUCAUUGCACUAAGCUAACAUGUCGUGUCCAAGCCCAAGCCUCCCUCCCUGUGCAAAAUUGAGGUAGACAAGGGAUGAAAGGUACUAGAUUAAUUGGAAAUCAAACAAGGACAUGUCUUUGCGAUUUCAAGUCCAUGUUUCCGCGAAGUCAAUUUCCCAGAGUGUGAGAGACAAAUUGUGUUUCAUUAAUUUUUGUUUACAAUUGUGACAUUGCUGAUGGUGAGGAGUCAACUGCAAGUUUUAUGAUUUUUGUUUUGUGUGCGUCUGAUAAUGUUGAUUCGAUUGUGUGGAACUAACCCUUGCCGGCUUGCUGCAGUGUUGCCCACGUGCUGGACGUCAUCAUUGAUUCUUCUAAUUUAGACAACACGUUAGCAUCUGGCAUGCACCACAACUGUUUGGUCAGUGCUUGGGAGGAAGAGGUCGGCAAGGGUGGAGCCAAUGGCAAGGGUGGAUAUCAGGCAAGCGAUGUACCGGUUGAUCUGCUUCUAUCAGGUUGUGCCCUUGCCACUCCUAAAGGCUCUACUGUUUACAGGAUCCACUGCUUUCUCACUUGAUCAGAACACAUGGCUGAGUUUGGGUCAAGCACUAGAUCAUUUGGUCCAGUUUUGGUUUUCUAUUACAGAUGUCAGAGUUGGCAUAUGUACAGACCCUAUUUUGCGUGAUGGCAUCAAAUAUACGGUUGUCACUCGAGCUGAAGAGAUAAAGAAGGUCCAUGAAGUACCAUGUUUGGGUGCUAAUGGCUAUAAAUCAGCAUUGAAAUAUGUGUACGAGUACAUAAGAUGUGAGAAUCUUCAAGAAAUUAAAACUGAAGAAACUUUUUAUGAGAACCUAGAUUAGAUUAGAUUUAGAAUGGCGUUGAUUGUUACAUUUUUAAUAAAAAUGAUAAUUUAGUUGUUUUAGCGGAAUUUAAUUGUUUUAGUAGACUUUGCUUAUAUCA
Molecule: RNA transcript, 2166 nt
Organism: Panicum virgatum (switchgrass)
Lineage: Eukaryota; Viridiplantae; Streptophyta; Magnoliopsida; Poales; Poaceae
Exons: 8
Source: RefSeq, a predicted model, not a curated record